Molecule: ribosomal RNA, 427 nt
Filed under: uncultured bacterium
Lineage: Bacteria
Description: partial 16S ribosomal RNA
Rfam family: Bacterial small subunit ribosomal RNA
Source: RNAcentral
UGAGGAAUAUUGGACAAUGGGCGAAAGCCUGAUCCAGCCAUGCCGCGUGUGUGAAGAAGGUCUUCGGAUUGUAAAGCACUUUAAGUUGGGAGGAAGGGCAUUAACCUAAUACGUUAGUGUUUUGACGUUACCGACAGAAUAAGCACCGGCUAACUCUGUGCCAGCAGCCGCGGUAAUACAGAGGGUGCAAGCGUUAAUCGGAAUUACUGGGCGUAAAGCGCGCGUAGGUGGUUUGUUAAGUUGGAUGUGAAAUCCCCGGGCUCAACCUGGGAACUGCAUUCAAAACUGACUGACUAGAGUAUGGUAGAGGGUGGUGGAAUUUCCUGUGUAGCGGUGAAAUGCGUAGAUAUAGGAAGGAACACCAGUGGCGAAGGCGACCACCUGGACUAAUACUGACACUGAGGUGCGAAAGCGUGGGGAGCAAACA